AGUGAACGCUGGCGGUAGGCCUAACACAUGCAAGUCGAACGGCAGCACAGAGGAGCUUGCUCCUUGGGUGGCGAGUGGCGGACGGGUGAGGAAUACAUCGGAAUCUACUCUGUCGUGGGGGAUAACGUAGGGAAACUUACGCUAAUACCGCAUACGACCCACGGGUGAAAGCAGGGGACCUUCGGGCCUUGCGCGAUUGAAUGAGCCGAUGUCGGAUUAGCUAGUUGGCGGGGUAAAGGCCCACCAAGGCGACGAUCCGUAGCUGGUCUGAGGGGAUGAUCAGCCACACUGGAACUGAGACACGGCCCAGACUCCUACGGGAGGCAGCAGUGGGGAAUAUUGGACAAUGGGCGCAAGCCUGAUCCAGCCAUACCGCGUGGGUGAAGAAGGCCUUCGGGUUGUAAAGCCCUUUUGUUGGGAAAGAAAUCCAGCUGGCUAAUACCCGGUUGGGAUGACGGUACCCAAAGAAUAAGCACCGGCUAACUUCGUGCCAGCCGCCGCCGUAA
This 506-nucleotide ribosomal RNA is filed under the name uncultured bacterium. Its description in RNAcentral is "partial 16S ribosomal RNA". It matches the Rfam family "Bacterial small subunit ribosomal RNA", at positions 29 to 523 of the family's 1533-position model. The record is from RNAcentral.